CCUACGGGAGGCAGCGGUGGGGAAUCUUGCGCAAUGGGCGAAAGCCUGACGCAGCAACGCCGCGUGCGGGAAGAAGGCCUUAGGGUUGUAAACCGCUUUCAGUAGGAACGAAAAUGACGGUACCUGCAGAAGAAGGUGCGGCCAACUACGUGCCAGCAGCCGCGGUGACACGUAGGCACCAAGCGUUGUCCGGAUUUAUUGGGCGUAAAGAGCUCGUAGGCGGUUCAGUAAGUCGGGUGUGAAAACUCUGGGCUUAACCCAGAGCCGCCACUCGAUACUGCUGUGACUUGAGUUCGGUAGGGGAGCAGGGAAUUCCUAGUGUAGCGGUGAAAUGCGCAGAUAUUAGGAGGAACACCGGUGGCGAAGGCGCUGCUCUGGGCCGAUACUGACGCUGAGGAGCGAAAGCGUGGGUAGCAAACAGGAUUAGAUACCCUGGUAGUCCACGCCGUAAACGUUGGGCACUAGGUGUGGGUUCCAACCAACGGAAUCCGCGCCGUCGCUAACGCAUUAAGUGCCCCGCCUGGGGAGUACGGCGGCAACGCUAAAACUCAAAGGAAUUGACGG
RNAcentral lists this ribosomal RNA (564 nucleotides) under uncultured bacterium. Its description in RNAcentral is "bacterial SSU rRNA". It matches the Rfam family "Bacterial small subunit ribosomal RNA", at positions 338 to 916 of the family's 1533-position model. The record is from RNAcentral.